UACGGAGGGUGCAAGCGUUAUCUGGAUCCACUGGGUUUAAAGGGUGCGUAGGCGGGUAUAUAAGUCAGUGGUGAAAGCUCCGGGCUUAACUUGGAAACUGCCAUUGAUACUGUAUAUCUUGAAUGUCGUUGAGGUUAGCGGAAUGUUGCAUGUAGCGGUGAAAUGCUUAGAUAUGUUACAGAACACCAAUUGUGAAGACAGCUAACUAAGCGAUGAUUGACGCUGAGGCACGAAAGCGUGGGGAGCAAACAGG
RNAcentral lists this ribosomal RNA (253 nucleotides) under uncultured bacterium. RNAcentral's name for it is "partial 16S ribosomal RNA". It matches the Rfam family "Bacterial small subunit ribosomal RNA", at positions 524 to 776 of the family's 1533-position model. The record is from RNAcentral.